UACGUAGGGUGCAAGCGUUAAUCGGAAUUACUGGGCGUAAAGCGUGCGCAGGCGGCUUUGCAAGACAGAUGUGAAAUCCCCGGGCUCAACCUGGGAACUGCAUUUGUGACUGCAUGGCUGGAGUGCGGCAGAGGGGGAUGGAAUUCCGCGUGUAGCAGUGAAAUGCGUAGAUAUGCGGAGGAACACCGAUGGCGAAGGCAAUCCCCUGGGCCUGCACUGACGCUCAUGCACGAAAGCGUGGGUAGCAAACAGG
This 253-nucleotide ribosomal RNA is filed under the name uncultured bacterium. RNAcentral describes it as "partial 16S ribosomal RNA". It matches the Rfam family "Bacterial small subunit ribosomal RNA", at positions 524 to 776 of the family's 1533-position model. The record is from RNAcentral.